UACGAAGGAUCCAAGCGUUAUCCGGAUUUACUGGGCGUAAAGGGCGCGUAGGCGGCGCGGUAAGUCACUUGUGAAAUCUCUGAGCUUAACUCAGAACGGCCAAGUGAUACUGCAGUGCUAGAGUGUGGAAGGGGCAAUCGGAAUUCUUGGUGUAGCGGUGAAAUGCGUAGAUAUCAAGAGGAACACCUGAGGUGAAGACGGGUUGCUGGGCCAACACUGACGCUGAGGCGCGAAAGCCAGGGGAGCAAACGGG
Molecule: ribosomal RNA, 253 nt
Filed under: uncultured bacterium
Lineage: Bacteria
Description: partial 16S ribosomal RNA
Rfam family: Bacterial small subunit ribosomal RNA
Source: RNAcentral